Molecule: ribosomal RNA, 735 nt
Filed under: uncultured bacterium
Lineage: Bacteria
Description: bacterial SSU rRNA
Rfam family: Bacterial small subunit ribosomal RNA
Source: RNAcentral
AACAGGAUUAGAUACCCUGGUAGUCCAUGCCGUAAACGUUGGGCACUAGGUGUGGGGGACAUUCCACGUUUUCCGCGCCGUAGCUAACGCAUUAAGUGCCCCGCCUGGGGAGUACGGCCGCAAGGCUAAAACUCAAAGGAAUUGACGGGGGCCCGCACAAGCGGCGGAGCAUGCGGAUUAAUUCGAUGCAACGCGAAGAACCUUACCAAGGCUUGACAUAUACUGGACCGCCUCAGAGAUGGGGUUUCCCUUCGGGGCUGGUAUACAGGUGGUGCAUGGUUGUCGUCAGCUCGUGUCGUGAGAUGUUGGGUUAAGUCCCGCAACGAGCGCAACCCUCGUUCUAUGUUGCCAGCACGUUAUGGUGGGGACUCAUAGGAGACUGCCGGGGUCAACUCGGAGGAAGGUGGGGAUGACGUCAAAUCAUCAUGCCCCUUAUGUCUUGGGCUUCACGCAUGCUACAAUGGCCGGUACAAAGGGUUGCGAUACUGUGAGGUUGAGCUAAUCCCAAAAAGCCGGUCUCAGUUCGGAUUGGGGUCUGCAACUCGACCCCAUGAAGUCGGAGUCGCUAGUAAUCGCAGAUCAGCAACGCUGCGGUGAAUACGUUCCCGGGCCUUGUACACACCGCCCGUCAAGUCACGAAAGUUGGUAACACCCGAAGCCGAUGGCCUAACCCUUUUGGGAGGGAGUCGUCGAAGGUGGGAUUGGCGAUUGGGACUAAGUCGUAACAAGGUAACC